AUUAUUGCUUUUUAUACUUUUUUAGUCUAUACUGACAGAGUCGUUUUUGUGACGACUAUGGUGAUAAACAUCGUGACGAAUAGAUGAUGUGGACUCGGGGGCAGAGCCCGACAUCUCCACCAUUUUUGGGGAUGAAUAGAUUCGACGCACAUUGAAAAACUCGGUUUUCACUCGUGGUGGUUUACGUUAUAGAACUAAAAUAUAAAUGCGAACGAUAAUUUUGUCGCAUGCAAUGAUAACUUUGCAGAUGAAGCUGUAGCUAUAGCUGCUUAGUUAGAAUAGACGCGGUUUGGGAGAGCCGGGCAACAGAAAUCUCCCGCU
Molecule: transfer-messenger RNA, 321 nt
Filed under: Holosporaceae bacterium
Lineage: Bacteria; Pseudomonadati; Pseudomonadota; Alphaproteobacteria; Holosporales; Holosporaceae
Rfam family: Alphaproteobacteria transfer-messenger RNA
About the family: Bacterial tmRNA, also known as 10Sa RNA or SsrA, is named for its dual tRNA and mRNA-like properties. Its role is to liberate the mRNA from a stalled ribosome. To accomplish this part of the tmRNA is used as a reading frame that ends in a translation stop signal.
Source: RNAcentral